GGGCGUUGGGCGUUAAGUUGCAGGGUAUAGACCCGAAACCCGGUGAUCUAGCCAUGGGCAGGUUGAAGGUUGGGUAACACUAACUGGAGGACCGAACCGACUAAUGUUGAAAAAUUAGCGGAUGACCUGUGGCUGGGGGUGAAAGGCCAAUCAAACCGGGAGAUAGCUGGUUCUCCCCGAAAGCUAUUUAGGUAGCGCCUCGUGAAUUCAUCUCCGGGGGUAGAGCACUGUUUCGGCUAGGGGGCCAUCCCGGCUUACCAACCCGAUGCAAACUGCGAAUACCGGAGAAUGUUAUCACGGGAGACACACGGCGGGUGCUAACGUCCGUCGUGAAGAGGGAAACAACCCAGACCGCCAGCUAAGGUCCCAAAGUCAUGGUUAAGUGGGAAACGAUGUGGGAAGGCCCAGACAGCCAGGAUGUUGGCUUAGAAGCAGCCAUCAUUUAAAGAAAGCGUAAUAGCUCACUGGUCGAGUCGGCCUGCGCGGAAGAUGUAACGGGGCUAAACCAUGCACCGAAGCUGCGGCAGCGAAC
This 532-nucleotide ribosomal RNA is filed under the name Salmonella enterica. RNAcentral's name for it is "partial 23S ribosomal RNA". It matches the Rfam family "Bacterial large subunit ribosomal RNA", at positions 677 to 1213 of the family's 2925-position model. The record is from RNAcentral. Lineage: Bacteria; Pseudomonadati; Pseudomonadota; Gammaproteobacteria; Enterobacterales; Enterobacteriaceae.